This 96-nucleotide small RNA is filed under the name Klebsiella pneumoniae. Its description in RNAcentral is "partial RtT sRNA". It matches the Rfam family "RtT RNA", at positions 36 to 130 of the family's 130-position model. From Rfam's summary of the family: This family represents a bacterial cis-regulatory element known as RtT RNA. The exact function of RtT is unknown although it is thought that it may be involved in changing the cellular response in relation to amino acid starvation. Lineage: Bacteria; Pseudomonadati; Pseudomonadota; Gammaproteobacteria; Enterobacterales; Enterobacteriaceae. The record is from RNAcentral.
CCAAGGUUCGACUCGAGCGAAGCGAGAGAACGUUGCCGCAGGCAAUGGCCCGAAGGCGAGGCGCUUUAGCGCCGAGUAAUCCUUCCCCCACCACUG